AGAAAAAUUAGUUCAAUGGUAGAGCGAUUGUUUUACACACAAUAAGUUGAAGGUUCAAAUCCUUCAUUUUUCA
This 73-nucleotide transfer RNA is filed under the name Fusarium oxysporum. Its description in RNAcentral is "tRNA-Val". It matches the Rfam family "tRNA". From Rfam's summary of the family: Transfer RNA (tRNA) molecules are approximately 80 nucleotides in length. Their secondary structure includes four short double-helical elements and three loops (D, anti-codon, and T loops). Further hydrogen bonds mediate the characteristic L-shaped molecular structure. tRNAs have two regions of fundamental functional importance: the anti-codon, which is responsible for specific mRNA codon recognition, and the 3' end, to which the tRNAs corresponding amino acid is attached (by aminoacyl-tRNA synthetases). tRNAs cope with the degeneracy of the genetic code in two manners: having more than one tRNA (with a specific anti-codon) for a particular amino acid; and 'wobble' base-pairing, i.e. permitting non-standard base-pairing at the 3rd anti-codon position. The record is from RNAcentral. Lineage: Eukaryota; Fungi; Ascomycota; Sordariomycetes; Hypocreales; Nectriaceae.